This 450-nucleotide ribosomal RNA is filed under the name uncultured bacterium. Its description in RNAcentral is "partial 16S ribosomal RNA". It matches the Rfam family "Bacterial small subunit ribosomal RNA", at positions 354 to 796 of the family's 1533-position model. The record is from RNAcentral.
GUGGGGAAUUUUGGACAAUGGGCGCAAGCCUGAUCCAGCAAUGCCGCGUGCAGGAAGAAGGCCUUCGGGUUGUAAACUGCUUUUGUACGGAACGAAAAGGCUCUGGUUAAUACCUGGGGCUCAUGACGGUACCGUAAGAAUAAGCACCGGCUAACUACGUGCCAGCAGCCGCGGUAAUACGUAGGGUGCAAGCGUUAAUCGGAAUUACUGGGCGUAAAGCGUGCGCAGGCGGUUUUGUAAGACAGACGUGAAAUCCCCGGGCUCAACCUGGGAAUGGCGUUUGUGACUGCAAAGCUGGAGUGCGGCAGAGGGGGAUGGAAUUCCGCGUGUAGCAGUGAAAUGCGUAGAUAUGCGGAGGAACACCGAUGGCGAAGGCAGCCUCCUGGGAUGACACUGACGCUCAUGCACGAAAGCGUGGGGAGCAAACAGGAUUAGAUACCCCAGUAGUCC